This 383-nucleotide ribosomal RNA is filed under the name uncultured eukaryote. RNAcentral describes it as "partial 18S ribosomal RNA". It matches the Rfam family "Eukaryotic small subunit ribosomal RNA", at positions 592 to 976 of the family's 1831-position model. The record is from RNAcentral.
CAAUAGCGUAUAUUAAAGUUGUUGCAGUUAAAAAGCUCGUAGUUGGAUUUCUGGUGGGAGCGAUCGGUCUGGCGCUUAGCGCGAGUACUUGCAUCGUCUCCGGCCAUCCUUGGGGAGAGUCUGUCUGGCAUUAGGUUGUCGGGCAGAGGAUCCUCAUCGUUUACUGUGAAAAAAUUAGAGUGUUCAAAGCAGGCUUAUGCCGUUGAAUAUAUUAGCAUGGAAUAAUAAGAUAGGACUUUGGUACUAUUUUGUUGGUUUGCGCACCAAAGUAAUGAUUAAUAGGGACAGUUGGGGGUAUUCGUAUUCCGUUGUCAGAGGUGAAAUUCUUGGAUUUACGGAAGACGAACUAUUGCGAAAGCAUUUACCAAGGAUGUUUUCAUUAA